RNAcentral lists this long non-coding RNA (289 nucleotides) under Mustela putorius furo (domestic ferret). RNAcentral describes it as "lncRNA (ENSMPUG00000026613.1)". The record is from RNAcentral. Lineage: Eukaryota; Metazoa; Chordata; Mammalia; Carnivora; Mustelidae.
CAUUUAACCUUGCAUAUAAUUAUAUAAAAUGUUACUGCCAUUUUGCAGAUGAGAAAAUAGACUCUGAGAAGGAGAAUGAAAUGCCCAAGAGUCAUCAAGAACAAGCAGCAAAGAAUAUUCCAGACAUUAUUGACAGAGAAGUAGUCAAGUUGGAACAUCAUGGAAGAUCAGUAGAACUAUACUCCAGCACAAGCCUUGAAACUUCAGAAAAUAUAACCAGCAUGAGAGAAAGCAAAGUUUCUUUUCAUCUGUGAAAAUCAACUCAGAGAUACAAAAACUAGGAGAAAGG